This is a ribosomal RNA of Fukomys damarensis (Damara mole-rat), 109 nucleotides long. The record is from Ensembl. Lineage: Eukaryota; Metazoa; Chordata; Mammalia; Rodentia; Bathyergidae.
GUCUAUGGCCACACCACCCUGAACAUGCCCAAUCUCAUCUGAUCUCAGAAGAUAAGCGGGGUCAGGUCUGGUUAGUACUUUGAUGGGAGAAUACAGGUUCUCAAAGUAG